GCUUUACUACGGGAGAGUUUUUUUUCUUUUACUACAUAAACUUACACGCAAUACACGCUUCAUCGUUUUGUAUCUAGUAAGCCGUAAAACAAAUCGUGUUUCCGUUGUUUCGGUAAAUCCAACGCUACCGCGCUGUAUAACGCGCAUUUAAAAAUCUUAUUCACUCACGAGUAAAAACUUCACGAGCUCUCUGCGAUAAAUCCGCCUUCCCGUCCGAUGUUUCUCUCGAAUAUGGUUUUCCAA
Molecule: non-coding RNA, 243 nt
Organism: Cinara cedri
Lineage: Eukaryota; Metazoa; Arthropoda; Insecta; Hemiptera; Aphididae
Source: the annotation of a GenBank genome assembly